This 492-nucleotide ribosomal RNA is filed under the name uncultured bacterium. RNAcentral's name for it is "partial 16S ribosomal RNA". It matches the Rfam family "Bacterial small subunit ribosomal RNA", at positions 29 to 507 of the family's 1533-position model. The record is from RNAcentral.
AGUGAACGCUGGCGGUAGGCCUAACACAUGCAAGUCGAACGGCAGCACAGUAAGAGCUUGCUCUUACGGGUGGCGAGUGGCGGACGGGUGAGGAAUACAUCGGAAUCUACUUUUUCGUGGGGGAUAACGUAGGGAAACUUACGCUAAUACCGCAUACGACCUACGGGUGAAAGCAGGGGAUCUUCGGACCUUGCGCGAUUGAAUGAGCCGAUGUCGGAUUAGCUAGUUGGCGGGGUAAAGGCCCACCAAGGCGACGAUCCGUAGCUGGUCUGAGAGGAUGAUCAGCCACACUGGAACUAUGACACGCACCAGCCUCCUGCGGGAGACAGCAGUGGGAAUUAUUGGACAAUGGGCUCAAGCCUGAUCCAGCCAUACCGCGUGGGUGAAGAAGGCCUUCGGGUUGUAAAGCCCUUUUGUUGGGAAAGAAAAGCAGCAGGUUAAUACCCCGCUGUUCUGACGGUACCCAAAGAAUAAGCACCGGCUAACUUCGUG